UCCUGGUUAACCCAGGCAGUCUCAUUAGAGUUCCCAGCAUUACCUGUUGGCAACUAAUGACAAGGGUUGCGCUCGUUGCGGGACUUAACCCAACACCUCACGGCACGAGCUGACGACAGCCAUGCAGCACCUGUGCAGCAAUCCCGAAGGAAAGCUCCAUUUCUGAAGCGGUCUACUGCAUGUCAAGCCUAGGUAAGGUUCUUCGCGUUGCAUCGAAUUAAACCACAUGCUCCACUGCUUGUGCGGGUCCCCGUCAAUUCUUUUGAGUUUCACCCUUGCGAGCGUACUCCCCAGGCGGUAUACUUAACGCGUUAGCUCCGGCACAGUCAGGGUUGAGUCUGACUACACCAAGUAUACAUAGUUUACGGCUAGGACUAC
Molecule: unclassified non-coding RNA, 378 nt
Filed under: uncultured Chlamydiales bacterium
Lineage: Bacteria; Pseudomonadati; Chlamydiota; Chlamydiia; Chlamydiales
Description: contains 16S-23S intergenic spacer region
Source: RNAcentral